Molecule: non-coding RNA, 188 nt
Filed under: Bathycoccus prasinos
Lineage: Eukaryota; Viridiplantae; Chlorophyta; Mamiellophyceae; Mamiellales; Bathycoccaceae
Source: RNAcentral
AACCGGGACGGAUGGCGACCACAUCGGUAAGUGAGUGAGAUGAGCGGAUGUGUAUACACACGGUGCGUGCGUGUGUACUGUUGUAACGAAAGACUAUCCUUCUUGAUGCCUAUAAAACGUGACGCGUCGUCGCGUCGUUGUUUUCUCGCUCACCCCACGUAGUACUUCAGGAAAAAUAAAACUUCUGU